RNAcentral lists this ribosomal RNA (496 nucleotides) under uncultured bacterium. RNAcentral describes it as "partial 16S ribosomal RNA". It matches the Rfam family "Bacterial small subunit ribosomal RNA", at positions 29 to 507 of the family's 1533-position model. The record is from RNAcentral.
AUGAACGCUGGCGGCGUGCCUAAUACAUGCACGUCGAGCGAACAGACGAGGAGCUUGCUCCUUCGACGUUAGCGGCGGACGGGUGAGUAACACGUAGGUAACCUACCUAUAAGACUGGGAUAACUUCGGGAAACCGGAGCUAAUACCGGAUAAUAUUUCGAACCGCAUGGUUCGAUAGUGAAAGAUGGCUUUGCUAUCACUUAUAGAUGGACCUGCGCCGUAUUAGCUAGUUGGUAAGGUAACGGCUUACCAAGGCAACGAUACGUAGCCGACCUGAGAGGGUGAUCGGCCACACUGGAACUGAGACACGGUCCAGACUCCUACGGGAGGCAGCAGUAGGGAAUCUUCCGCAAUGGGCGAAAGCCUGACGGAGCAACGCCGCGUGAGUGAUGAAGGUCUUCGGAUCGUAAAACUCUGUUAUUAGGGAAGAACAAACGUGUAAGUAACUGUGCACGUCUUGACGGUACCUAAUCAGAAAGCCACGGCUAACUACGUG